UCCCUGGUGGCUCAGACGGUAAAGCAUCUGCCUGCAAUGCGGGAGGCCCGGGUUCGAUUCCUGGGUUGGGAA
RNAcentral lists this transfer RNA (72 nucleotides) under Ovis aries (sheep). It matches the Rfam family "tRNA". From Rfam's summary of the family: Transfer RNA (tRNA) molecules are approximately 80 nucleotides in length. Their secondary structure includes four short double-helical elements and three loops (D, anti-codon, and T loops). The record is from Rfam by way of RNAcentral. Lineage: Eukaryota; Metazoa; Chordata; Mammalia; Artiodactyla; Bovidae.